This 336-nucleotide ribosomal RNA is filed under the name uncultured Acidobacteriota bacterium. Its description in RNAcentral is "bacterial SSU rRNA". It matches the Rfam family "Bacterial small subunit ribosomal RNA", at positions 32 to 351 of the family's 1533-position model. Lineage: Bacteria; Pseudomonadati; Acidobacteriota. The record is from RNAcentral.
AAUCAACGCUGGCGGCGUGCCUAAUACAUGCAAGUCGAACGCGAAAGUCCCGCAAGGGGCAAGUAGAGUGGCAAACGGGUGAGUAACGCGUGGGCGACCUACCUUCGAGUGGGGGAUAACCUUCCGAAAGGAGGGCUAAUACCGCAUGACAUCCCGUGUUUGGAUACACGGACAUCAAAGUCGGGGAUCGCAAGACCUGACGCUUGGAGAGGGGCCCGCGUCCGAUUAGCUAGUUGGUGGGGUAACGGCCCACCAAGGCUUCGAUCGGUAUCCGGCCUGAGAGGGCGGACGGACACACUGGAACUGAGACACGGUCCAGACUCCUACGGGAGGCAG